GACGAACGCUGGCGGCGUGCUUAACACAUGCAAGUCGAACGGAAAGGCCCUGCUUUUGUGGGGUGCUCGAGUGGCGAACGGGUGAGUAACACGUGAGUAACCUGCCCUUGACUUUGGGAUAACUUCAGGAAACUGGGGCUAAUACCAGAUAGGAGCUCCUGCUGCAUGGUGGGGGUUGGAAAGUUUCGGCGGUUGGGGAUGGACUCGCGGCUUAUCAGCUUGUUGGUGGGGUAGUGGCUUACCAAGGCUUUGACGGGUAGCCGGCCUGAGAGGGUGACCGGCCACAUUGGGACUGAGAUACGGCCCAGACUCCUACGGGAGGCAGCAGUGGGGAAUAUUGCACAAUGGGCGGAAGCCUGAUGCAGCAACGCCGCGUGCGGGAUGACGGCCUUCGGGUUGUAAACCGCUUUCGCCUGUGACGAAGCGUGAGUGACGGUAAUGGGUAAAGAAGCACCGGCUAACUACGU
Molecule: ribosomal RNA, 467 nt
Filed under: uncultured bacterium
Lineage: Bacteria
Description: partial 16S ribosomal RNA
Rfam family: Bacterial small subunit ribosomal RNA
Source: RNAcentral